This is a long non-coding RNA of Ictalurus punctatus (channel catfish), 575 nucleotides long. NCBI's taxonomy places the organism in Eukaryota, Metazoa, Chordata, Actinopteri, Siluriformes, Ictaluridae. The record is from Ensembl.
UGUGUGUGUGAGACUGUGUGUGUGAGAGUGUGUGUGAGAGUGGUAGUGUGUGAGAGUGUGUGUGAGAGUGUGUGUGUGUGUGUGUGUGUGAGAGUGUGUGAGAACAUAUUCACUGGUGUGAAAUGAUGUAAAAGUCAUGAAGGACGGAACACACUGUGGUUUUCUGUGGGAUGCUGCGUCAGCUCUGCCGCUGUGCCUGAUGCAUUAAAGACCUGAUUUAUUAUUUCUGAAUGAACGGAACGUUGCAGGCUGAUGAACAGAAGACGGAUGCAGCUGGACCCCGAGUCGAAUGCUGUAAGAUUCAUGAAGAGAUCUCUUUAAGCGCUGCGUGAACAUGUUCAUGUAGACCCGAAUCCUUGUGUUUUUUAAUCUGAUAUAAAACGCUUCAUUCGAAGACGCGGUGUUGUCUGAUUUAUUGGUGACGCUGUUACUCGUUUAGCGUGUACUUAAAGUCGUCCUGGGUUAAUAGAAGAAACAAAUAAACAAACUAACGUAUUAUAGUUAAGAACUAUGUUAUAUAUUAUAGUUUAAAAAAUCUUUAUUUCAAUUUUUAACGGUUUCUUUUUUAACGGCAC